GGUUUCGUAGCUCAGAUGGUAGAGCACUUGACUUUUAAUCAAGUGGUCGCGGGUUCGAUCCCCGCCGAAGCCA
RNAcentral lists this transfer RNA (73 nucleotides) under Ignavibacteria bacterium. RNAcentral's name for it is "tRNA-Lys". It matches the Rfam family "tRNA". Rfam says of the family: Transfer RNA (tRNA) molecules are approximately 80 nucleotides in length. Their secondary structure includes four short double-helical elements and three loops (D, anti-codon, and T loops). Further hydrogen bonds mediate the characteristic L-shaped molecular structure. tRNAs have two regions of fundamental functional importance: the anti-codon, which is responsible for specific mRNA codon recognition, and the 3' end, to which the tRNAs corresponding amino acid is attached (by aminoacyl-tRNA synthetases). tRNAs cope with the degeneracy of the genetic code in two manners: having more than one tRNA (with a specific anti-codon) for a particular amino acid; and 'wobble' base-pairing, i.e. permitting non-standard base-pairing at the 3rd anti-codon position. Lineage: Bacteria; Pseudomonadati; Ignavibacteriota; Ignavibacteria. The record is from RNAcentral.